Molecule: unclassified non-coding RNA, 343 nt
Filed under: Hevea brasiliensis (rubber tree)
Lineage: Eukaryota; Viridiplantae; Streptophyta; Magnoliopsida; Malpighiales; Euphorbiaceae
Source: RNAcentral
UCGCUUACUCAUCCUUCCCCUCCACACAAGGAGGAGAAGGAGGAGCUUCUUGAAAGCCAAAUCAUGUACACAACUUUCAAACUUCUUCUCAAUUGUAGACAAUGGAAAGAAUUUCACUCAAGUCGACAGCAUUUUUUGUUAUCUUCUUUCUUGCCUCUUCUGGUUUGUGGGGGGAAUAUGAAGGAGGAGCAGAAGCAUUUCAUUUAAGAUGUCCUAGGACGAUAGAUUGCAAUCAAGUGUGUAAUGGCUUCCCUAAUUGUUGCAUUGAUGGGCAAUGCUAUUGUAAUCCUUGCCCUUCCAUUGCCCAUCAGCACCUACCUUUAAAUGUCUAAGCUUAACCCCU